This 303-nucleotide ribosomal RNA is filed under the name uncultured bacterium. RNAcentral describes it as "partial 16S ribosomal RNA". It matches the Rfam family "Bacterial small subunit ribosomal RNA", at positions 507 to 807 of the family's 1533-position model. The record is from RNAcentral.
AGCAGCAGCCACGGUAAUACGUAGGGUGCAAGCGUUAAUCGGAAUUACUGGGAGUAAAGCGUGCGCAGGCGGUUUUGUAAGACAGAGGUGAAAUCCCCGGGCUUAACCUGGGAACUGCCUUUGUGACUGCAAGGCUAGAGUACGGCAGAGGGGGAUGGAAUUCCGCGUGUAGCAGUGAAAUGCGUAGAUAUGCGGAGGAACACCGAUGGCGAAGGCAAUCCCCUGGGCCUGUACUGACGCUCAUGCACGAAAGCGUGGGGAGCAAACAGGAUUAGAUACCCCUGUAGUCCCUGUCUCUUAUAC